GGGGGUGACUGGGAGAGAAAGAACAGGUUGAAGGUGUAUGAAGGGUUGUUCUGCAUGUCCACUCGUAACUUCAAGAAAGCAGCAGAUCUUUUCCUUGAUUCUAUCUCAACUUUUACCACAUAUGAGCUUUUCCCCUAUGAUACUUUCAUAUUUUAUACUGUCCUUACGAGCAUCAUUACCUUGGACCGGGUUUCCUUGAAACAAAAGGUAGUCAAUAUGUACUCCCUCUAAUAUCCUUGUUUGCUGUAUGAGGAAUUUUCUAACUUCAAAAUUUGUGUUCCCUUGGAAUAUCUGGGAUGUUACUGUGAUGAAUGUACUUGCAAAUUCAUUUUUAUCACGUAUAUGUUGCAGGUCGUGGAUGCGCCAGAGAUCUUGACUGUAAUUGGAAAGAUUCCAUAUCUGUCCGAGUUUAUGAACUCGUUAUAUGAUUGUCAAUACAAGUCAUUUUUCUCAGCAUUUGGUAAGCUUUUCCAUUGUUUAUUUUUUCUUUUCGUAUGUGAAGUGUGUCUUCGUAGUUUGCAAAGGUCUGCACACAAAAGUGUAUGUAGAUUAUGUCUGAUGGGGGUCCCUGAUGCAUUUUCUUGAGAAUUUGAUUGAGAAUAGUGGUAUUUGGCUAUUUGCAAGGGCUUGAUUACUGAUAAUCCAGUUUGGAGGUUUUGAUUCUCAGAUGACAGUGUUUCCUUUUUGGAGUAACUUGAUAGUGAAAUAGGUUACCACUGUUGUAUAGAAACGUACCCCCUUUUCUUGUCUGAAAGUCUUUUGAAUAUCAGCACGAAUGUAUGGGGUCUUAGUGCUCUUUAUUAGUCAUGCAAGUAGUUAGCUUGAUUGGACUAAAGGGAUGUUCUUUCUGGCACAUAUUAAAACAGUAAAAAAGAUGCUAUUUCCGCUCCUGAAACUUGAAACUUUUCGAAUGGAUAAUAGUUCUUUUCCAAUUGCAUAGAAAGUAAUAUCUCGUCAUCUUUGUUAAGUUUGACAGGGAGUUUGUUUGGGUUAGGAGUUGGGGUAGGUGGGUGGACUUGUAAUUCUCAUUGCAGUUAGUCUUAGCUUGCAUAGUCUGCUCACUUCUCUUUGUAAUAAUAGCUAAUAAAUCUUACAUUGAGUUCUCUUCAGAGAACUAACUCAAAUUUGUAGGGCAGUUACAUUCACUUGAAUUUCCCAACUGAUUAUUGGAGAUGGGGGCAAUGAGAGACCAAUUGACCUUUGCGCACACACAAAAAAGAUUGAUACCUUUAUAAAAAAAUUUGACAAACCUAAAUGUGUGUUUAUAGACAGGCGUUAAAAUGUGAUCUGUAAGUAUCGAGUUACAGGAGAGAUAAACAUGCUAUAUCUGUCAUAUACUCGUGAUUUGUGAUUUACCUAUAUGUUGAUUGCUAGGGCCAUGUAUGUGGGCCAUGAAAUGAUAUAUCAGUUGCAGAAUGGUUGAAUUUUACCUUAAUGUGUUUUCAGCUGGCUUGAUGGAGCAUAUUAAAUUGGAUCGUUACUUGCAACCACACUUCAGAUAUUAUAUGAGGGAGGUCAGAACAGUUGUGUAUUCCCAGUUCCUGGAGUCCUACAAGAGUGUUACUAUUGAGGCCAUGGCCAAGGCUUUUGGGGUGUCUGAGGAUUUCAUCGACUUGUGAGUGCUGCUAUUUCAUGCUUAGAUAAUGGACUGUGUAUUCACUAUAAAACGUGUAACAUAAUUGAACUUUUCUGUUUUACUUCAGGGAACUAUCUCGGUUCAUUGCAGCUGGGAAGUUGCAUUGCAAGAUUGAUAAAGUAGCAGGAGUAUUGGAAACUAAUCGUCCUGAUGCAAAGAAUGCUCUUUAUCAGGCAACUAUCAAGCAAGGGGACUUCUUGUUGAAUCGCAUUCAAAAGCUUUCUCGUGUCAUUGAUCUCUGAAGCCGUUAAACCGUGCGUUGUACUUGUUUUCUCUUCAACUCUCUGUAGCUCUAAUAUUGAUAUAUUCUGCCUUUUCAUAUUGAACUCUUGGGGGAGUAUUAUUUUAGUAAUUUUCUGAAAUCAAAGAGAUUUUCUGUGUUGGGAUAGCUCUUAUAUUUGGACAAGCAUUGCAUCUUUUGAAAUGUUACUUCCUAUUUAAGUUUGUGCUCAGCUGAUGCUGAAAUUGACUUGAGAAUUCUAACUAGUGAAGCUAAAGAAUGCAUUUAGGGGGCCGUUUAGUAGUUAGUUAGAGUUAAUUGAUACAUGGAUUAGUUAGGAGAGAAUUUAUAUGUAUCAUUUAUGGAGGAUUAAUUAGGUAAGGUUUUAGUUAUUUGAUUUGCGUAAAACAAUGCAUAAGUUUAUUUGUAAUUUAUACAUGCAUUAGUUAGUGGGUUUUUUAAAUUAUAGACUAAACAUUUUAUUAGUUUUAUACAUUAAUUUACCACCUAAUUAAAUAUCAAAAUGUGACACUCUGUUCUGUUUUUAAUCUUGAAAGUAGAAUAUCAUUUAUACAUAUUUUAAUGGGAAUUUAUACUAAGAAUAGGAUCGAUAAGGUUUUAAUAAUUUAAGUUGAACCUUUUUAGAAGUUACACUUUGAAAGUUUGCUCAUAAUUGUGUAUAAUAAACUGUUUUAACAUGUUUGUGUGAAUAAAUAAUUACUUGAUCAACACGUGAUAGUGCGUAAAUGAAAAAAAGUAAUCAUACUCUUCAAUUUGUAAGAGAGGGUACAGAAAUGUUGGUAACUAUACAUGGGUAAAUAAAAAAGAAUUCAUUUUUUUUACAUUUUUUAUUUUUAGUCUUUGUAAUUUAUUUUUUGAGAUAUUCUUUUUAAUGGAAAAUGAUCAAGAAUAUCCUUUUAACUAAGAGAAAUUGAACAAAAAUACUUUCAGUUAAUAGUUUGAUCUAAAAAUGCUUUUGCAAUCAAUAUUUUGAUCUAAAAUAUCCUUAUCAUCAAUACUAUGGUCCAAAAGUAUCCUUACCAUCAAUACUUUGAUUAAAAUAUGCUUAUAUUAUUACUUAAUUAGUCAAAAAUGCCCUUUUCCUACUUUUCUUGCACCGUCGAAACAACCAUAAUUUCCUCAAAAAAACAACAAAAAAGAAAAGACAACGAAAUAAGAGGGAUAAUGCACAAGUACCCUCUCAAUUUAUGUCCGAAAUUUCAAAAACACACUUAUACUAUAGAUUGAGUGGGUACGUGUGCAUUAUCUCCGUAUAUAUAUAUAUAUACACUCAUGAAAAAUUAAUUCUCAUUGAAUAAUAGUAUCAUAUAUUUAUUUUCCUAGUAUUUGGAUAUCUCAAAUCUAACUAUUCCACUUGUUUUUGGAAGAAAACCAAUAUUAAGAGUUCAUUGGCCAUGCAAUUGAGAUUUCAAAUUUGAAUCAGUGUCUGUUUUAUGAAAUUUGAAAGAAAAAAAAUUCAACUAUGAUUUCAAAUAACAAAUUUACCUUGAAAAUAAAAUUUCAUUUCUAGGUUUGUAGUUUCACUUUUUUAUAAAUUUAAAGCUUGACACAUGAGCUAUACAUACAAAAAAGGCUCAUAAUUUUAAUUUUGCAAAAGAGAUCCGACCUCCACAUGAAGAAAUGAUUUAUAGAAUGUGAGCGAUUAUAUUAUAAAAAUUAGUUACUAUUAGUGUUGAUUUAUUGAAUCAAUGGAUAUUUAUAAAAUUAUGUAAAAUUUUGUAAUAAUAAAUAAUCAGAAACAUUUAUCUACAAGAAACAUGAAAAAAAUAUUAUUUGUUAAUGUUGUGCUUUGUGAUAUUUUAAUAUCUUACUUAUAAGGAAUAAUUACUAAACUAUACAACUUUACUUUACCUAUUUCCAAUAUUUCUCUACUCUUUUAUUAAAAUUAAAAAAUCCCUUUUAUACACCCAAUGAUACUUGACUUAAUUUUUUACAUUGGAAAUCAAAACUUGAACUUACCCAUCCCCAAAAAUUUCGCCCAAAUUCCCCCACCCCCCUUAAAAUUUUCGGAUAAAUUUUAAAACUAAAUUUGAAAUUCAAAAAAAUUCAAUCCCUAUUCUUCCGCUUUAGAGCUUCUCAAGUAAAUUUUCUUCGAUUCUUUUAAAAAAAAUUUGUGUAUGUAAUAUUCUGCAUUUUCUAAAAAAAUUAUAGUUUUCUUUCCAGAAUCGAAAGUUUCGAAGAUUUGAGUUCUAAAUCGUUCCAUGACCCUAACAAGAUCGAAAUAACAAUCCUUAUUCAUCUGAUUUAGAGUUCAGAAUUUGUUUAUCAUCUUCUCCAGUAAGUUUACUUUCUUUCUUUUUUUGCAUUUCUUGUGUAUCUAAUGUUCUUCCUUUUCUAAAAAAUUUAUUAAUUUUUUCCAGAAGCGAAAGUUUUGAAGAUUUGAGUUCUAAAUCAUUGCAUGACUCUAUAAUCAUGACAAAUCCAAGUUCUAGCAAGAGAUCUUCUUCAAAGAAUAGACAUUCAUCAACUUCAAAAUACCCAAAACCCCCAAAGAAAAGGGGUAGAAAGGCGGCACCUCCGAUCAUUCGACUAACACCACCUACGGUAUCAACAUUUGUAUCCCUAUACAUCCUAAUUUUUGUAUCUUUCGGUAGUUGGAUGAUUCUUUUUUUUUAAAGUAUCGUUUAUUUCAUUGCACUCAUGAAACACAGAAUAUUGUUGAUACUUUUAUGUCUUACACAUUCCUUAAUAUUUCAUAGAUAAAAUUUUAAGUAUCGAUUUAUAAUUUUUUGAUACUUUAUUUUUUUUUGUAUAUAUGUAUAUAACACAAAUAAAAUAUUUAGAUAUUUGUGUAUCUAUUUUUUUUUUGUAUAUUUAUAUACUUAUGAAAAAUUAAUUCUGGAUAAUAAUAUCAUAUAUUUAUUUUCCUAGUAUUUGGAUAUCUCAAAUCUAACUAUUCCACUUUUUCUUUUUGGAAGAAAACCAAUUUUAAGAGUUCAUUGGCCAUGCAGUUAGACACUAAUCCUUUAAUUUUUGGUAUUAAAAAAAUAAUUUCACCUGUCUAUUAAUAAUAAUGUUUAAUCAAAAUUAAACAAGAAAAAAUAGAUAAUUAUAUUCAUUUAGUGUGGUGGAAUUUCAUAUUCUAUAGUUAUUACAAGUUGCAACCUUUAGAAUUUCUAUUUAAUAUUAAUUACUUCUUUCAAUUUAUCAACUUGGACCAUAUUAACUAAAAAUAAUUUUUCCUUUAUGCAUUUUUUUGAGAAUUUUUUCAAAAUGUCAAUUCUUUGAUAUUUAAUAGGACUCCUUAGCCAUGUUUUUAAUAUUUAUUUAAAAUGUAAAUAUUUUAAUUUGUUAUGUAUCUAAUUUAUAUAUCUUUUAAUUUGUUUGAUUUUGCAAAAAUAAAUUAUUCAAUAACAGAAAGGAGAAAAUCAGGGGAGAAAAUAUUAAGAAAAAAAAGGGACAUAUCACUUAAAAUUCUCACCAGUUACUAUUUCAAAGAAAUCCCCUUUCUCAUUCGAGAUUAACAAUUUCAAUCUCUAUUUUCUCCUUUAUCAAAAUCUUAAUUAUGGAUUGUAUUCCGUAGUCAAAAUUGUAUUACAUGACAGCAAAAUAUAUAUUUCUUUUAUUUGUAUUACAAAAAUAUUAGUGAUUGUAUCCCAAUACAAUCUAAUUAUUACAUUUGAAUAUGAUUUAUGAAAGGAACAAGAUUCUGAAAAAAAAUAGCAUACAUGAUGGAAAUAAUACAAUCUGUUGAGGAAGAAUAUAAUAUUCAAAAGGGUUAAUGCACAAGUACUCCCUAUGACCAAAAUCUCAGAGACACCUAAACUAUUCUAAGGUCUUAUUACCCCCUGAACUUUUUUUUUUUUUAAUUUUGUACAUCUUUUGUUUUACAUGGCACACUCCGUGACUCAACGCAAUUGAGGCGCGUGGGAGAUACUUGGAUGUCAUGUAAGCCAAAAAGAUGCACAAAUUUACAAAAAAAAAAGUUCGGGAUAUAUGUGUGUGUGUGUGUAUAAUGAAUAUGAAAGAAAUAGGGAUGAAAGAUUCUGAAAAACAACAUACUUAGUGAAAAUAAUACAAUAUGAAGGAUAUAAUAUUCUAAGAAAACUACAAAUUAAUUCUGAAAAAAAUAGGAUACAUUUAUGCUUAAAAAUACAAAUCCAUUUGGCAUACCUAUUGGAAUGACUACAAACUAAAAAAGAAAUACAAUGUUCUUAAUAAAAAAAAUAAAUACUGAGUAAAAGAAAAACAUUUGACAAUUUUUCUUUAUGAAUAUAAUUCUAAUAUGAAAUCAAUUUUCUCCUCCUCCUCCUCCUUCUCCGAUUUUUUGUUCACCCUCCUCCUCCUCCUCCUCCGAUUUUUUAUUCGCCAAACCCAAAUUUGAACCCGUAUUCACUUGUGCAUUAGUAAUGCUAUAAGCAAAAUUCAAAAUUAUUAAAUAUAAAUGUAUAAAAAAAUCAAACAAUAUAUGAUGUAAAAAUACCAAUGUAGAUUACUACAAUAUACUAAAAUCUCAAAUAUGAAAAUAAAAAAAAUCAAAAAUAAUGUUUAAAAGACCAAAAAUUUGAAAUAUAUAAAGAGGUAAAAUCUCAAAAAAAAUACUUGGUGAAUACGAAAACAAACUCAAAAAAAAUUUGAAUAGUACUGUUUAAAAGAUGGAAAAUCUAAAAUACAAAAUACUGGUGAAUAUGAAAACAAAAUCACAAGAAAUCUCAUAAAAUACUUGUUGACUUCAAAUUUAUCUUAACCAAUUGUGAAAAAUAUAUAGAAUUAAUUGUUUCUUGAACAAAGUUUUGAAAAUUCAAAGAGUUGAUUUUCUUGAAAAAGUAAAUGAGAUAACAAUGGUGAACAAGGUAAAAGAGAGAAAGAAGUGAUUAGGGGUAAAACAUAGAAAGAGGGGUAAUUGGGUAAUGCGAGUAUUUCUUUUACCGGAUAGGGGAGUAAAAAAUUGGUCCAAUGUGGGCCUGAUUUGAGAAAUAAAAUGAAAGGACAUUAAUUAUAUUAUGAUAUAAUUUAUUUACUAAAAUAUUGACAGAUUGAUAUUUUAAUAAUUAUUUUAAAGUGUAGAUGUUUUUAAUAAUUAUAUUAGGGAUUGUGACUAGUUUACUAACUUUUUUUUUUCAAAUCAAAUUUUGUCAUGGGCCCUAUUAUUUAUUAAUUAAAUAAAGGAAAAUUUAGCUAACUAGUCAAAAAUAUUAACUUAUUUAGUGAUAAUAUCCAUACUUAAAUAAUAUUAGUAAACAUGUCAAAAAUGUCAUAAUUUUAAAAAUAAAUAAUUGUUUUGAUAUUAUUAAUAUUUUCUCUCUCAUUAUUUACACAUUUUUUUCUCUCUCAUAUAUUACACAUUUUCCUAUAUUUAUGUAAUUGGAAAGAUAUUAAUGUCAUUUUAAUUUCCCUCUCUCUCUUUUCUUAAGCUUAUUAAUUUCUCUCUCUUAUUUUCUUUCUAAUCAAAUUCCCAGAUUUUUCUCUCUUUUCUUAUUCUUCUUUUCAAUUUCUCUAUCUAACAUUCUUCCAAAUCAAUUCCACAGAUUUUCGAUUCAAUAUAUUAAUAUUUUAUAUUAUUCUCAUUUAAUUUCGUUGCAAAAUUUGAUUUGAAGAUUAACAUUGAUUUGGGUAUUAUUUUUUUUUCAGAUGCCUUAUUUAUUUACAUACUGAUUUUAGUAUUUUUUUAAUUUUUUUUAUUUUGUUGUUGUUCUUAAAACAUUUUUUAGGAUUUGAGACUACAUAAUUCUCUCUUCAAUGGACGUUUUCAAGAGAGUUACUAGAGGUAUUAGACAAAAUAAUCAAAGUUCUUCCGAUUUUCCAUCAUUUAAUUUUUUUUUCACUGAAGAAUUAAACAACAAUAUAGGUUCCGCUUCUAAAUCUAAGGAGGAUAUACGACAGGGAAAAAUGCCUGAAUCUGUCGAUGUGCAAAAUCCCACACAAAUUAAUAACAAUGAAGUUGAAGAAGACCAAUUUGUUGGAGAAGAGUUUUUUUUUUUUUUGCAUGUUCUGUGUCUUGCAUGUUUAAUUUAAUUUGUUUAGUAAUUUUUAAGAUUCAAAAAAAUUCAUGUUACAAUGCGUUUGGAAGUAUAUAUGGAAUUUUUAUUAUGUUAUAGUUAGUAUUUAUUUUUGUAUUUUAUAUAUUUAUUGUAUUUUGUUUCUAUUUUUUUUUUGUGUUAGUUAUGUUUGUGUAUAUUUCAUAAUUUUGAUGUUUUUUGUAUUCAUAAAUUUGGAAGUGUAUAUUGAGUUUUUGUUGUUGUUUUAGUCAGUAUGUAUUUUUGUAUUUCAUUGUUUUAUUAUAUUUUGUAUUCAUAGAUUUGGAAUCGUAUUUCAUUUAUUUAAUUUAUUUUAUAUUCUAUUUUUUUUAUAGUUAUGUCAAUGUACCACAGUUAGUAUUUAUUUUUGUAUUUCAUAGUUUUAUUGUUUUUUGUAUUCAUAAAUUUGGAAGUAUAUAUUAAAUUUUAAUACUGUUUUAGUCAGUAUAUAUUUUUACAAUUAAUAGUUGUAUUCAUUCAAAAAUUAUGUUGCAUUGUUUCUGAAUUUGACAUUUUUUUUUAAUUUGUAUUUAUUCUAAAGGUAUGUCAACUAGUUAUGUAUUUUAUUUAAGAAUGAGUACACCAAAUAUUCAAUUAUUUCUUUUCAAUUUUAUAUUUCAUUCACUUUUUCAUCAUACUAAUUUUUUGUAUUUUAUAUAUUAAUACAAAAUUCAAAAUAAAAACUAGAAUAAAUAGAAAUACAAAUAAAAUACAUAUUGAAAUGAAUACAUACAAGAAUUUCGAAGAAUAAAAUAACUAUAUAGGGAAAAAAAUAUAUAAAAAUACAAAUACAUUUCUUAAAUGACUAUAUAGAUAAAUUUGACAUAUUUAUUGGAAUGAAUAUAAAUUAUAAAAAACAAUAAUAAAUAUAAAUAGAAUAUAUUGUGGAAUGAAUAUAAUUUUAAAAAGGUAAAAAUUUUGGAGAGAAAAAAAAUUAAAUUUUAUUUGAAAAUGUAACUGAUGAGAAAAUUAAGGAUGCUUACCUUUUUUUGAAAUAUUCUCUUCCUUAAUUUUCUCCCUUUUGUUAUUAAAUAAUUAUAUUUUUUAAAUAAAAAUAAAUAAUAAAAAAGAUAUAUAACAAACUAAAAUAUGACAUUUUUACUAAAUAUUGAAAGUAUUGCUAAUGAGCUCUUUUAAAUGCUAAAAUAUUGACAUUUUGAAAAAUUUCCCUUAAAUAAAUUCUUUUGGGCUCCAAAAAGAAGCCCAUAAAAAACGCAAAUAUAACCAAAAAAAAACUUACAACUGAGUUAGCCCAAAAAUGACGGAGUUGAGGUAUAUAACAAGACCCUAAAUAAUAGGGUUUCAUAAUAAAAAACCCUAGUCCUUUCAUCUUCUCUAUCUUCUUCUUGCCGCCACUAAGUAUGUGUUCUUUAGUGCGUGAUAAAAGAUUCUUCAUAGUUGAUAGAUGUGUUGUUUCUUGCUCAACAACCAAUGGUGAAUUCCUUUUUUAUUUUGUUGCCUUUUGAUUUCAAAGUAGCUUUGGUGUUCUUUACUCCAUUAAAGGUGUAUCAUCCGGUGGGGGUUCAUGAGUUUGUGAGAAACUUGAAAGAGAGUUAGAACCCUGUAUUUAAAAUUCGUAAAUCUUUGUAAGUAUUUCUUGAUUUUUCUUCACCCUUAUUUCAAUUAAUCUACAAGAUUAACUUUUUUUUUCUCAUUUGAAGUAGAGGCGGAGAAAUCUAGGUUAGCUUCUUCAUCUUGAUAUCUUGGUUGGAUACAAGAAUAUAAAAGGCAGAUCUAGUUCCUGAAAUCAAGUGUUUUGCUGGUGACUGUAUCACUUUUUGUUUUUGGCUGACAUAUUAGGUUAGUUUUCUCACAAUUAUAUUUCCCUUGAAAUGGCCAUAAACUAUUUAGUAAAUAUAAUGGAUGUGAGACUCUGUGUCUUUCCAUUUGUUUAAAGGUUGCUGAUGUUGUUUAUACUUCUUGAUUUUAUUUUAAUUGUUGGUAUGUGAUAUUUAUUCAUGUCCAAGAUUUUCUUUCCCAUGAUUGGUAUUUUACUAAAAUUAUGAAAUUAUUGUGUUUUACCAUUUUUAUCGUAGUGUUUGUUAUGAAAUCCACAACUAAGUGAAGAGUUUUUCUGAAUAUGCGUCUUAUUUGAAUGUUUCGUUGACCCAUAAUCUCAAGUAAGUUUUCCAUCCUCUCUUCUAACUCCCAAGAUAUUCUUCGAAUCCCUCCUUAUCAUAGUCUGUGACUGAGAGAAUCUUUCUCUAGAUUGAUUUGGUGAAAUCCUUGGUUUAGGCAAUAUAUAAAGCCUUUUUAAAUUGUUGUCCUCUUAUUACAUGUUUGUAGUCAUUUUUAUGCUUUGUGCCUCAACAUAAAUUAGAUCGCUAUUAUUGUAUCUUAUAAAAAAAAUUAUAUGAUCUUUGACUCGUGUUUUCUUUGUUGGCUCUACUUGUGCUACAUUUACUCAUCCUAUUUUUGAAAAACUCCACUACAUUGUGGGAUAGUUAAGUGUAGGUUCAUAACUUUGAAGCAAA
RNAcentral lists this long non-coding RNA (10308 nucleotides) under Solanum melongena (eggplant). RNAcentral describes it as "long non-coding RNA (SMEL_LNC000140)". The record is from RNAcentral. Lineage: Eukaryota; Viridiplantae; Streptophyta; Magnoliopsida; Solanales; Solanaceae.